GCCCGCGCGGGGCCACCCCUCCCCCCUCUGGCAGGGGAAAGGAGUCAGGGAGCUUCGCCAGCUUGGCUUUGUGCCCUUGUGAGAAAGGAGAGUGGAAGCCUCAGAGCACACAGAGAUCCAUCUAGCCCUGAUCUCUGGUACAAAACACUAUCUGUUGGUUGGAACGUAGGGGCAUAGAAGAACCUACUGCUUUUGGUCCUAAGAGCAGCAGAGCAGCAUCCAGGACAGCCAACCUCCUCAGUGGUGGUGCCAACUACAGCCCCUCUUAGAGUUGUGCUGGACCUACCUUUGCAUCACUUCAUGGAGCUGAGAUGGAUAUUUCAGACCCUCUUGGUGAUGAGAGUCCUGUCUGGACACUUGCCAAUGUUCAGGAUGCUUUAAUGUAAACACUGGACUCACCUGGAGGAUGUCCCCAUGUAAACCAACUAUACAAGCUCAGAUUUUUCAUAAGCUGGCCAGACCUCUUGAAGCAGUCCAAAGAAUUUUGCAUUAAUGUAUGGGAAGAGACUUAAUCUACUUUUACAUCCAUUUUCAAUAAAACACAAUUUUCUCCAAAA
Pseudopipra pipra is the source of this 557-nucleotide long non-coding RNA. RefSeq lists it as uncharacterized. NCBI's taxonomy places the organism in Eukaryota, Metazoa, Chordata, Aves, Passeriformes, Pipridae. The record is from RefSeq and is a predicted model, not a curated record. The transcript has 4 exons.